Molecule: ribosomal RNA, 496 nt
Filed under: uncultured bacterium
Lineage: Bacteria
Description: partial 16S ribosomal RNA
Rfam family: Bacterial small subunit ribosomal RNA
Source: RNAcentral
GAUGAACGCUGGCGGCGUGCCUAAUACAUGCAAGUCGAGCGAACGGACGAGAAGCUUCUUCUCUGAUGUUAGCGGCGGACGGGUGAGUAACACGUGGAUAACCUACCUAUAAGACUGGGAUAACUUCGGGAAACCGUAGCUAAUACCGGAUAAUAUUUUGAACCGCAUGGUUCAAAAGUGAAAGACGGUCUUGCUGUCACUUAUAGAUGGAUCCGCGCUGCAUUAGCUAGUUGGUAAGGUAACGGCUUACCAAGGCAACGAUGCAUAGCCGACCUGAGAGGGUGAUCGGCCACACUGGAACUGAGACACGGUCCAGACUCCUACGGGAGGCAGCAGUAGGGAAUCUUCCGCAAUGGGCGAAAGCCUGACGGAGCAACGCCGCGUGAGUGAUGAAGGUCUUCGGAUCGUAAAACUCUGUUAUUAGGGAAGAACAUAUGUGUAAGUAACUGUGCACAUCUUGACGGUACCUAAUCAGAAAGCCACGGCUAACUACGUG